UUGAUGGGCAUUAAACUUGAAGGAAAGGUUCCCUCUAAGGUUGCCUAUCUAGAAAGGAAGUGGCCUCUCCAGCAAGCAUCAGUUUCUAGAUUUUCCCCAUUCCUAAGGGUUCUGUAAGGGGCGUGCAUAAGAGCACCAGCCGUCCCUGUCCGAAUGUUUCCUCUAUUUGUAUCUAUUUCAUGUAUCCAAUCUAGGUUUAUACUUAUUACCUAAUAUGUUCUUGACAAAUAAAAUAAAAUUAAAAAAUUGCGAAAAUCUCUUGUGGAGACUCAAAAAUCCCUUUCCUGAAGAGCAGUUUUUAUUCUAGAAAGGAAGUGGCCUCUCCGGCAAGCAUCAGUAGCCAAGGAGGAUUGGAAACACCAAGAAGCAGCCUGUAAUAAUGAAAAUACAGGUAGUCCUCAAUUUACAACAGUUCAUUUAGUGACCAUUCAAACUUACAAUGGCACUGAAAAAACCAACAGUAAUGAAGAUUUCACCGGUUUGAAAAGAUUACUCUGGAUUUGGAGGUGGGAUUGCAAGAAAAAAGGAAAUUUAGCUACAAUGAGUGAACGAAAGUGUUGGAAGAAAAAUCCGGUCUGGUUCCAAGUCGGGAGAAAGACGCCGGAAAUAAAAUGGAGGCUGGCUGAA
Pantherophis guttatus is the source of this 627-nucleotide non-coding RNA. NCBI's taxonomy places the organism in Eukaryota, Metazoa, Chordata, Lepidosauria, Squamata, Colubridae. The record is from RefSeq and is a predicted model, not a curated record.